GCGGGCAUCGUAUAAUGGCUAUUACCUCAGCCUUCAAGCUGAUGAUGCGGGUUCGAUUCCCGCUGCCCGCU
RNAcentral lists this transfer RNA (71 nucleotides) under Klebsiella pneumoniae. RNAcentral's name for it is "tRNA-OTHER". It matches the Rfam family "tRNA". From Rfam's summary of the family: Transfer RNA (tRNA) molecules are approximately 80 nucleotides in length. Their secondary structure includes four short double-helical elements and three loops (D, anti-codon, and T loops). Lineage: Bacteria; Pseudomonadati; Pseudomonadota; Gammaproteobacteria; Enterobacterales; Enterobacteriaceae. The record is from RNAcentral.